Brassica napus (rape) is the source of this 2644-nucleotide long non-coding RNA. RefSeq lists it as uncharacterized. The transcript has 2 exons. Lineage: Eukaryota; Viridiplantae; Streptophyta; Magnoliopsida; Brassicales; Brassicaceae. The record is from RefSeq and is a predicted model, not a curated record.
UAACUUCGUCGUAACCGUUUUCGACCUCAACAACGGACUUUCAGACAUUAAUUCCGUCGUGACCGAUUUUGACCCCAACAUCUCUCCAACUUGUGUUCUUAGGCCAAGCAACAUAAAAAAACUUCAGUUUCUAGGUUAAAGAUGAGUUAGGACACGUCUAUCAUUUCCACUCGCAGCAGGUAAGGGUAAUUUCGGCACUUUACAUGAUAUUAUAUAACAUAUCGUACCCUCUUAAUUGUUAUGUGCAUUGCAUUAAUUUUUUUUUUAUUAUGUACAUGAGCCCAAAUUUCCCAUCACCGAACUGGACAGUCAAAGCCGUAGACUAUUGACAUUGUCUUUUCCCCCUUAAUAGUCUGCAAAUCCUCACUUACUUCAUUUUCCUUUUAAAAAACUACUUUAAUUUUCAAGUAAUCUGCAUUGGUAAUCUCUAACCAGCUUAUAUUAAUAUUUGAUUAGAUAACUUCUUAGAAAAGCUCAAAAAAUCAUACUAAAAUAUUUUACUUGAAAAAUUUUCACAUGAAUUUUUUAAAUUUCUAAAAACGAUUUAAUUGAAUAUUAAUAUAAGUAACGAGAGACUCUAAUGAAAUAUUCAUCAAUGCAAAUUACUUUAAAUAUGUAUGAAUUCUAAACUCAUACUAUGUAUUUAUCGGGUUUGCUUGUAAGAGAAUAGAAGGCUCUUUGCUACAGUAUCCUUAAAACAACAACGAUGUAAUAAGGUUUAAGUUGACAAAAGUGAAUUUACAUAGAUGAAUUAUCGAGUUACACGGUAUGAAGCAAGAUCAAAACUACAAAAGAAGUAAUAAAGCUAAGUGUUUGAGAGAUAUGUUGAGUAUGUGUGGUGUUUUCGAAUGUCUUUCAUCUCUCACUCUCAUCAUCUUCUUUUUUUAUCACUACAAGGGAGUGAGUAAAGAUAGCUCAUGAAGAUAGUGUUUUUUACAUAAAUGCUAUAAUUGAUAUAACACGCAGUUUAAGAUAGCUUUUCAAAAUGCAAACGCUAUCUUUGUUUUUUACGGAUUCUAAAACUUUGUUUUAAAUAGCAUAUGUAUAGUUAAAACGCUGUGUUUAAUCUAGACGGAAAAAUUAUUUCAUUUCUCGGCAAAGACUUACCAAAAAUUAUUUCACUCUCCCUCCCAAAUUCUCGAAAUUCACAACCAAAAUUUUCUUAAUUCUUUCAUAUUCUUCUUCUCUCAAUACAAAAUUUUCUUAAUUCUUUCAUUUUCUUAAUAUUUUUUUCUCAACCAUUUUCAUAUUCUUCUUCUUUCAUUUUCUCAACCUAAUUUAAAAACAACGGAGGAGAAAUCAACGCCAAGAAUCUUGGCCGUAGCCGACUCCAAUUUCGAGCUCUCCCCUCUUCCACAGCUACGGUAGCUCACUUCUUCGAUUCUCCACUUCGAAAUCUCUCCUCUCUUGUAUAUCUCCUCCGAUUCAACAUCUCCAGCUGCUCAUGUCUCUGUAUCUUCUCCUAGUGCUCCUAUAAUCUCUCUCGCUUCCUUAAAGCAUGAUUCUUCAUAAGUGUUGUUGAUUUUGUGGUCUCCAAUGAUUUGCCUUGUUUGUUGAUUCUCUUAUGAAUUUCCAGAUAUAGUCUCUUCAGUUCUCUCUGGCUAUCGAUCUCCUCAAACAAAAGACGAAGCUUGUUUGAAUCUCUGUCUUUGUAGAUAGUUUAUUGUGUUCUUACGCGAGUGUUUCAUUUGACAGGCAUUGAUUACACUGAAGAUCUUGUGACCUAUAAUGCUGCUGACCACAAGGUUGAACAAGUUCGUCUCUUUCUAUCUCUCGUCUUCACUACGAUGUCUAUGGAGCAGAAAUUUUGUUUCCACAAAGUUUGUAUGAAGCUCAAAGUUGAAGACUUUGAGAGUGUUACUUGUUCAAACUUUGAGAUGCAAGCGUAAUGUGAUGUAGCAAACAAUGCUACUUGUAGCUAGUUUCUUGUGUUCUUACUUGUACCUUUUGAAUUUUGGCAGGCAUUGAUUACACUGAAGAAGGGCUUUCAGCUUUUGAUAUAUGGUCGCAAAGGAAAAGCAAAGUUAAAUCCUUUUAGACUGUCUAGUCGUUUUCUGUUGUAUCUGAGAAAAGUAUUCUCGUUGGUGUUGGUUUUCCAGGAUGAUAAGCCUUUGAUCUGGAUAUCUAGUAGCAGUGAAAAGCGAAAUGCGCGGGGCAAAUGACAAUCAAACAAGAUACCUCGUUUACGGACUCCCAGCAAACGGAAUCAAACCACAGCUCCAUCAACAGCCACGACAAGAAGCAGAUGAUGAUCAAGGAAGUGAUGUGGAGGAGAUCACACGAGUAGAGUGCAGACUCUCCAUGGGAUACUUCAUACGUGUUGAGGAAGCAGAAGAAGACAUCGAUCCUAUGUUCCGGAGAGUUGUCCAAAAACUCAAAGACAAUGCACGCCCAAAACGAGAACAAGGAGAGUCCUCACGUGGCAAGUCUCGUCGCCGAGACUAAGCCAUCGUGCCAACACUUUCAUGUGAGAUAGAGAUCAAAAUAAAUUGAGAUGUUUGCUUAUAGUUGUUUCAUCUCACUUUAUUUUUCACUAGUGAUUACAUUUAUGAUUUUCCUUUGACGUUGAAUGAAUACUCCGAGAACAGGGGAACUGGAAUGUACCCAAUUUUAUAUAUAAAAUUUUAAAAAUCUUUUUUUUUAA